CCUACGGGAGGCAGCAGUCGAGAAUCAUUCACAAUGGGGGAAACCCUGAUGGUGCGACGCCGCGUGGGGGAAUGAAGGUCUUCGGAUUGUAAACCCCUGUCAUGUGGGAGCAAAUGAAAAAGAUAGUACCACAAGCGGAAGAGACGGCGAACUCUGUGCCAGCAGCCGCGGUAAUACAGAGGUCGAAAGCGUUGUUCGGAAUCACUGGGCGUAAAGCGUGCGUAGGCUGUUUCGUAAGUCGGGUGUGAAAGGCUCGGGCUCAACCCGCGGACGGCACAUGAUACUGCGAGACUAGAGUAAUGGAGGGGGAACCGGAAUGCUCGGUGUAGCAGUGAAAUGCGUAGAUAUC
RNAcentral lists this ribosomal RNA (349 nucleotides) under uncultured bacterium. Its description in RNAcentral is "partial 16S ribosomal RNA". It matches the Rfam family "Bacterial small subunit ribosomal RNA", at positions 338 to 698 of the family's 1533-position model. The record is from RNAcentral.